Molecule: long non-coding RNA, 2573 nt
Filed under: Canis lupus familiaris (dog)
Lineage: Eukaryota; Metazoa; Chordata; Mammalia; Carnivora; Canidae
Description: lncRNA (ENSCAFG00000057519.1)
Source: RNAcentral
UACAUUUUCAAUAAAAUUGUCAAUAUGUACAGCACAGUCUCAGAUAUUAUAAAUUUAAAAAGAAUGAUGAAAUUAUAUCUAACAUAUCUUGCAUUUCUUUUAAUACCAUCAAAUUUGUCAACUUUUUUUCCUACUUAGAAACAAAAACUGUCUUCAAAUUCUAAGCAAGUGCAUACAUCAUUUUCUUUUGUAAAAGUUUUACUACUAUCAUCCCCAUCAAUCACUUAGAAACUUGUUGAUUCUACUCACUAACCAUUUCUCUAAUUUGUCUGCUUCUAUUCAUUCUCAGUAUCAAUACCUUAUCCAUAAUCAUCAACUCCAUGUAAACCGUAUAAACUCUCAGGCUUUAGUCUUUCUCCCCAUCCCUGACCCCCAAUCUGCAUUCCACACUGCAGACAGAGUACUUUCUAUAGUGAAAAUUUAAUUAUAUAUUUCUACUGAUUUAAAAACACUCAAGAGUUUCUCAUCUUUCUCAGGAUAAAAUGCAGACCCUUAUGGUAUGCAUGACCAGGCCUUUGUUGAUCUCCCUAGCCUCUUUUCCGACCUCAUUUUUAGUUUGGAUGUAUUGAACUGCUUUCAUUUGCAAAAAUAUACCAUGUAAUUGAUUAUAUUGAUCAAGCUAACCUUGGUGUCUUUCACUUGAAUAACAUUUUUCCCCAUUUCAGCUUUAUCUGAUUCCUCAAAUUUGGAUUAUGUGUCUAUUCUGUAUGUUCCUAUAUCAUUAUAAACUCAUAUACUUUGUCUCUUGUACCACUUCUCACUCCGAAGUAUAACUGUCUGUAGGAUUUGCUUGAUGAAAUCAGGAAAUCUUUCAUGUUCAUCAGUUUAUUUCCAGCAUAUAGCACAAUUACUGGCACAUAGUAGGCAUUAUUUAAUGAAUGAGUGGUUAUAAUCGCAUAGGGUUUUUUUAGUGACACCUACUUAAUUUUAAAUGUAUUUUAAGAAUUAAUAAAUGAAUUUUUAAAGUUGUGGUUUUUUUUUUUUAGAAUCAGUAAAUGCAAAUAAUUAGACCCACCUUGUUUAUCAGGUUGAAACAUGAAUCUUUUUUUUUUUAAUUCCACUUUUUUCUUUUUCUAUACUGCAAAGUAGAGGAAUAGUCAAAAGAAAAAUCACCUUUCUACUUCCAACUGGUUAUAUUAUUGAGUAAACUGCACAUCACCUGCAGAUAUAGUUAUAAUCUAUUAUUUUUUAAAAAUGUCUUCUAAUCUUUUUCUGUCAUCUUAUUUACCUAGAUAAUACAAUACCCUUUACAAUGGAUUUUUUCAAAGAAGGACAUUGUUAAGAACCAAUAUACCCUUAUUGGUAAUAUUUGUCUACCUACUAAUAUAAUUGGUUAUAUUUUUUCUAUUACUAGCAAAUGGUCUUUGGAAAUAUAGAUAAAUUAGAGUGCUCAAUUAGUUUUGCCAUUAGUAUUCAUUAUUUUAUAUACUAUUACAUAUCCUUUUAAUUUUCCCUUUCUCAACUAAAUAUAUCCUUUAAUCUUUUACGAUAGAGUGCCUCAUUUUCCUUGUAAGUAUAAUAGUUUCUUAUUGCUUUCUGGUUCUUUAUUUUUUUUUUCAUAUAGCCUCCUAAAGAUGAUUAGACUAAGAUGACUACUAUAGCACUAUAGUUAAGAUAAAAAGAUAUUAUUGAUUCAUAAAUUGAAGUAUUAUAAUAUGUGUGUCCUAUUUCUGGCCUCUUUUAAUAUGGUUUAAUACCUCAUUCCAUUUUUAUUGCCUCUAGGUAGUGAACAAAUGUCUUCAUUGAAUUGCACAAAGAGAUACAUAAAUCUUAUUCCUGAGAAAAUUACAUUUAGUUCAGAGCUCAUCAAUGUGUAUGAGUAAUUUGAAUUUAUUUUUUAACUGUGCUUUGCCUUUACAUAUUUUAAGUGGAUUUUAUCAACCUUUGUGUUUCUUAAUUACCUUAUAUUGUUAGGUCAUUUGGAAUUCAACCAAUUGCCUUAAUCUCAAGAAAAUUAAAAUAAAUUUUUCUGUAAAUUUUAAAACUUCACCUUCUUUUCCAGAUCAUUAACAAAAGUAUUGAACAGAGACACAGCUCUGGAUCCAAGACUAACCCUGCUAAUUAACCUUUUUGCUUCCUGAGGGUUUAGAACUUAUUUCCACUCAAUUUCUACCACUUAACUUGUUUUUAAUGGCUUAGGUCCAUCCCCAGGGGGGUAGAGGGCUCUGAGCAAAUCAUUUUGCAAUCUCAUUGCUUAACAUUUUUAUUCUUAUGAUAUCCUGUGAAAGUUAACAUCAAGGACAUCCUUAAAGUGUAAAGCUCUGGGAGCUAAGAAGAAGGCUAUUGUUAAUUUGUAGCAAAUCCAUUCCCAAAUCCUCUUCCAGCUCUUUUUAUACCUCUCAGAUUUUAGAAUUCAUAGAGAAUCACCAGUGGGAGGGGGGGUAUUAUUAAAAAUGUGGAUUCCUGGGAUCCCUGGGUGGCGCAGAGGUUUAGCGCCUGCCUUUGGCCCAGGGCGCGAUCCUGGAGACCCGGGAUCGAAUCCCACGUCGGGCUCCCGGUGCAUGGAGCCUGCUUCUCCCUCUGCCUGUGUCUCUGCCUCUCUCUCUCUCUCUCUCUCUCUCUCUCUGUGACUA